RNAcentral lists this ribosomal RNA (1350 nucleotides) under uncultured bacterium. RNAcentral's name for it is "bacterial SSU rRNA". It matches the Rfam family "Bacterial small subunit ribosomal RNA", at positions 28 to 1381 of the family's 1533-position model. The record is from RNAcentral.
AUUGAACGCUGGCGGCAUGCUUUACACAUGCAAGUCGAACGGCAGCGCGGGGCAACCUGGCGGCGAGUGGCGAACGGGUGAGUAAUAUAUCGGAACGUACCCAAGAGUGGGGGAUAACGUAGCGAAAGUUACGCUAAUACCGCAUACGAUCUAAGGAUGAAAGUGGGGGAUCGCAAGACCUCAUGCUCCUGGAGCGGCCGAUAUCUGAUUAGCUAGUUGGUGAGGUAAAGGCUCACCAAGGCGACGAUCAGUAGCUGGUCUGAGAGGACGACCAGCCACACUGGAACUGAGACACGGUCCAGACUCCUACGGGAGGCAGCAGUGGGGAAUUUUGGACAAUGGGCGCAAGCCUGAUCCAGCAAUGCCGCGUGAGUGAAGAAGGCCUUCGGGUUGUAAAGCUCUUUUGUCAGGGAAGAAACGGUAGGAGCUAAUAUCUCUUGCUAAUGACGGUACCUGAAGAAUAAGCACCGGCUAACUACGUGCCAGCAGCCGCGGUAAUACGUAGGGUGCAAGCGUUAAUCGGAAUUACUGGGCGUAAAGCGUGCGCAGGCGGUUUUGUAAGUCUGUCGUGAAAGCCCCGGGCUCAACCUGGGAAUUGCGAUGGAGACUGCAAGGCUUGAAUCUGGCAGAGGGGGGUAGAAUUCCACGUGUAGCAGUGAAAUGCGUAGAGAUGUGGAGGAACACCGAUGGCGAAGGCAGCCCCCUGGGUCAAGAUUGACGCUCAUGCACGAAAGCGUGGGGAGCAAGCAGGAUUAGAUACCCUGGUAGUCCACGCCCUAAACGAUGUCUACUAGUUGUCGGGUUUUAAUUAACUUGGUAACGCAGCUAACGCGUGAAGUAGACCGCCUGGGGAGUACGGUCGCAAGAUUAAAACUCAAAGGAAUUGACGGGGACCCGCACAAGCGGUGGAUGAUGUGGAUUAAUUCGAUGCAACGCGAAAAACCUUACCUACCCUUGACAUGUCAGGAAGUCUGGAGAGAUCUGGAUGUGCCCGAAAGGGAACCUGAACACAGGUGCUGCAUGGCUGUCGUCAGCUCGUGUCGUGAGAUGUUGGGUUAAGUCCCGCAACGAGCGCAACCCUUGUCAUUAGUUGCUACGCAAGAGCACUCUAAUGAGACUGCCGGUGACAAACCGGAGGAAGGUGGGGAUGACGUCAAGUCCUCAUGGCCCUUAUGGGUAGGGCUUCACACGUCAUACAAUGGUACAUACAGAGGGCCGCCAACCCGCGAGGGGGAGCUAAUCCCAGAAAGUGUAUCGUAGUCCGGAUCGCAGUCUGCAACUCGACUGCGUGAAGUUGGAAUCGCUAGUAAUCGCGGAUCAGCAUGCCGCGGUGAAUACGUUCCCGGGUCU